AACGAACGCUGGCGGCAUGCCUCACACAUGCAAGUCGAACGAGACCUUCGGGUCUAGUGGCGCACGGGUGCGUAACGCGUGGGAAUCUGCCCCUCGGUUCGGAAUAACAGUUAGAAAUGACUGCUAAUACCGGAUAAUGACUUCGGUCCAAAGAUUUAUCGCCGAGGGAUGUGCCUGCGUAAGAUUAGGUAGUUGGUGGGGUAAAGGCCUACCAAGCCGACGAUCUUUAGCUGGUCUGAGAGGAUGAUCAGCCACACUGGGACUGAGACACGGCCCAGACUCCUACGGGAGGCAGCAGUGGGGAAUAUUGGACAAUGGGCGAAAGCCUGAUCCAGCAAUGCCGCGUGAGUGAUGAAGGCCUUAGGGUUGUAAAGCUCUUUUACCAGGGAUGAUAAUGACAGUACCUGGAGAAUAAGCUCCGGCUAACUCCGUGCCAGCCGCCGCAGUAA
This 449-nucleotide ribosomal RNA is filed under the name uncultured bacterium. RNAcentral describes it as "partial 16S ribosomal RNA". It matches the Rfam family "Bacterial small subunit ribosomal RNA", at positions 29 to 523 of the family's 1533-position model. The record is from RNAcentral.